UUGGACGCAGGCCGUUUACUUUGAAAAAAUUAGAGUGUUCAAAGCAGGCCUACGCUUGAAUACAUUAGCAUGGAAUAAUGGAAUAGGACUUUGGUGCUAUUUUGUUGGUUUAUGGGACCGAAGUAAUGAUUAACAGGGACAGUUGGGGCCGUUUAUAUUUCGUUGUCAGAGGUGAAAUUCUUGGAUUUACGAAAGAUAAACUUCUGCGAAAGCAUUCGGCAAGGAUGUUUUCAUUGAUCAAGAACGAAAGUUAGGGGAUCGAAGACGAUCAGAUACCGUCGUAGUCUUAACCAUAAACUAUGCC
This 304-nucleotide ribosomal RNA is filed under the name Rhodomonas sp. RCC5237. RNAcentral describes it as "SSU rRNA". It matches the Rfam family "Eukaryotic small subunit ribosomal RNA", at positions 737 to 1043 of the family's 1831-position model. Lineage: Eukaryota; Cryptophyceae; Pyrenomonadales; Pyrenomonadaceae. The record is from RNAcentral.